UGGUGACAACAUGUGAAACUAUGUCUCUCC
RNAcentral lists this non-coding RNA (30 nucleotides) under Rattus norvegicus (Norway rat). The record is from RNAcentral. Lineage: Eukaryota; Metazoa; Chordata; Mammalia; Rodentia; Muridae.